Molecule: ribosomal RNA, 328 nt
Filed under: Coreus marginatus
Lineage: Eukaryota; Metazoa; Arthropoda; Insecta; Hemiptera; Coreidae
Description: partial large subunit ribosomal RNA
Rfam family: Eukaryotic large subunit ribosomal RNA
Source: RNAcentral
GGAAGUGGAGCGGUGCCAACGUGCCGGGCCUGGGCGAGGUGAAGGGCGCUCGUCGUCUGGACCCUAGCUCGGUCCCGUGCCUUGGCCACCCACGGACCUUCCUUGCUGCGAGCCUCCCGGCUGUCUAGUUUCCGGCUCAGCCGGAGGACGGGCCGGAAGGCUCUUCGGCCGCCAUAGAACGAUCAACUUAGAACUGGCACGGACCAGGGGAAUCCGACUGUCUAAUUAAAACAAAGCAUUGCGAUGGCCCUAAGGGGUGAUGACGCAAUGUGAUUUCUGCCCAGUGCUCUGAAUGUCAACGUGAAGAAAUUCAAGCAAGCGCGGGUAA